This 719-nucleotide ribosomal RNA is filed under the name uncultured bacterium. RNAcentral's name for it is "bacterial SSU rRNA". It matches the Rfam family "Bacterial small subunit ribosomal RNA", at positions 63 to 793 of the family's 1533-position model. The record is from RNAcentral.
CGAGGGGCAGCAUAUGGAUAGCAAUAUCUAUGGUGGCGACCGGCGCACGGGUGCGUAACGCGUAUGCACCUACCUUUAACAGGGGGAUAACACUGAGAAAUUGGUACUAAUACCCCAUAAAAGGCAUCUUGAAAAUUCCGAUGGUUAGAGAUGGGCAUGCGUUGUAUUAGCUAGUUGGUGGGGUAACGGCUCACCAAGGCGACGAUACAUAGGGGGACUGAGAGGUUAACCCCCCACACUGGUACUGAGACACGGACCAGACUCCUACGGGAGGCAGCAGUGAGGAAUAUUGGUCAAUGGACGAGAGUCUGAACCAGCCAAGUAGCGUGAAGGAUGACUGCCUAUGGGUUGUAAACUUCUUUUAUACGGGAAUAAGUGAGGCACGUGUGCCUUUUUGUAUGUACCGUAUGAAUAAGGAUCGGCUAACUCCGUGCCAGCAGCCGCGGUAAUACGGAGGAUCCGAGCGUUAUCCGGAUUUAUUGGGUUUAAAGGGAGCGUAGGCGGACGCUUAAGUCAGUUGUGAAAGUUUGCGGCUCAACCGUAAAAUUGCAGUUGAUACUGGGUGUCUUGAGUACAGUAGAGGCAGGCGGAAUUCGUGGUGUAGCGGUGAAAUGCUUAGAUAUCACGAAGAACUCCGAUUGCGAAGGCAGCUUGCUGGACUGUAACUGACGCUGAUGCUCGAAAGUGUGGGUAUCAAACAGGAUUAGAUACCCUGGUAG